Molecule: non-coding RNA, 845 nt
Organism: Arachis ipaensis
Lineage: Eukaryota; Viridiplantae; Streptophyta; Magnoliopsida; Fabales; Fabaceae
Source: RefSeq, a predicted model, not a curated record
AUAACUAUCUUAGAGAUUAUAGAGAUAUUGUGAAGAAAAGAUUAAGAAGCCGAACAAGGGAUACUAUUGACAUAGAUAAAAAGGUUCAUAGAGAAUUUGUUGAUUGGUUCUCUAAUCAUAUUUGUACUAAUCUCAACAAACUUCCUGAUGUAGAUAAAGACAUUCUUAUCAGUCUUUCUCAAGGACCAUAUGACCAAGCAAGAAAGUUCUCUUCAUAUGAUGUUAACGGAUAUAGAUUUUGAACUUUGGCAAGGGAUAAUGGAUUAAAAACUCAGAAUAGCGGAGUCUUUGGUACAUUUGGAACAAGAAGUUACUCAAGUAGUAAAGAUACCCGAAUGAACUUUGGUGCUGUACCUUAUUAUAGAAAGUUGGUAGACAUCAUUGAGCUUUUCUACAAUGGCUUUACAGUUCUCUUGUUUAAAUGUCAAUGGGCAAACACAACUAGUCCUAGAGGAAUCAAAAAGGACAAUUUGGAUUUUUUAUCUGUGAACUUUACAAGGCUCAUACAUACUGGUGAACAUGAAGAUGACGAGCCAUAUAUUAAAGCUUCUGAAGCCCAGAUGGUAUAUUAUGUGGAUGAUGAGAAGGAAAAAGGAUGGUGCAUACCAAUUCACUUGAAGCCAAGAGAUUUAUAUAACAUGGGUGGAGAUAAUAUGGGUGAAGAUGACGAAAUUGCAGUAUCCAAUGAUAAUUAUCCACCACAAGACUUAGAGUCUCUUUUUCCAGAUGAAAAUACAAAUAUAAAAUUAGCGAGAAUAGUUGUAGAUGAUGAUCUUCCAAUAAUCAAUGAAAACUAUGAUGAGAAUGAGGAUAUGCUUGUGUAAAAGACAUUGAACUUACAAGAC